GGACUGUGACGAUAUCUGUGUUUUUCGUUGUAGUUGACCAAAUCGGCCUUGCUGACUAUUCUGCUAUAUCACCACCCAGGUUCUGAGUCC
This 90-nucleotide small nucleolar RNA is filed under the name Phaseolus vulgaris (common bean). RNAcentral's name for it is "snoRNA snoZ43". It matches the Rfam family "Small nucleolar RNA Z43". From Rfam's summary of the family: Z43 is a member of the C/D class of snoRNA which contain the C (UGAUGA) and D (CUGA) box motifs. Most of the members of the box C/D family function in directing site-specific 2'-O-methylation of substrate RNAs. The record is from Rfam by way of RNAcentral. Lineage: Eukaryota; Viridiplantae; Streptophyta; Magnoliopsida; Fabales; Fabaceae.